AUUUCGGAAAUAAAAACAGCAGACAUUCCUGAUAAUGUCCUAUCCUCUGUUGGAGUUGUAAGCGAUGAAUGUGUUUGACUUCCAACUUAUCAAGGAUUUGCUUUUCUCGGCCUGAUUUCAGGUCUUCCUCUCUGUAUAUGUCUCUUUUUGUAUUUAAAUUUUAUUGCGAGUGUAUUACUUGAGUAAUAAUGUAACUAUUAAACCCCUUAUAAUCAUGUUCACAUCGACCU
Molecule: unclassified non-coding RNA, 230 nt
Filed under: Zea mays
Lineage: Eukaryota; Viridiplantae; Streptophyta; Magnoliopsida; Poales; Poaceae
Description: misc RNA Zm00001eb096880
Source: RNAcentral